Long non-coding RNA from Lampris incognitus (smalleye Pacific opah), 827 nucleotides. RefSeq lists it as uncharacterized. The record is from RefSeq and is a predicted model, not a curated record. Lineage: Eukaryota; Metazoa; Chordata; Actinopteri; Lampriformes; Lampridae. The transcript has 4 exons.
AGCUUACUUACUCGUUUGGGUGUGUUUCUUCUAUCAUUUUCUCGUUUCACCUCAGAACAGUUGCCUGCAUUGUUUCAAACCCAUGCCUGGACACAUCGUGGGAGCGUUUCAGAUUGAAAAGUGGCCUUACGGCGCCCCCUGCUGAUAGAGGUGUGAGAAGCUAAGCAGGUGUGGGCUUGGAUGGAUGACCUCCUGGGAAAACUUGAGUUGCUGCUGGGGGGGCGUUGCUGUGCAUCUCCCGGGUGGGUACUACACACUGGUUGAGGAGCAGUGGGCAGCUGCAGCACCCAGGGACCAACUCCAGUUCUUCUUUCCAUUGCCUCGCUCAGGGGCACAGACAGGAGUAUUAACCCUCACAUGCAUGUCUUUUUGAUGGUGGGAGGAAACCGGAGCACCCGGGGGAAACCCAUGCAGACAUGGGGAGAACAUGUAAACUCCACACAGAAAGGACCUGGGACGGCCUGGGGUCAUUGCAGAAUAUAUAUAGAGACAUGGAGAGUCAGUAUAAAUCAGAUGCAUUCUGCAUGCAAAAGCACAUAUUUGUGAUAUGAGGAUUCAUGAAUUGUGUUCUCUUUUUGCUGUUGUAUUUUUUAAUUCAGGGCAUUUUGGAAAAGAUUGGACCAGUCUAUAUGCUUGCUGAUGGCUUGCACUUGUUUUGGAAGUGUCUGCACAAUCAAUUAUAAAUACCAAACCCUUAACAGACUUGCAUUUUUAUCUAUGAUGUCACCAGUAAUAUGUGUUGUUGUCGUCAUGCCCAUAUGCGGCUAUUUUGUUCUGUAUGCUCUUUACACUCAUGCAGUACAGUAAAUGACAAUGGACCACAUCCU